UUGACUCUCUCUCUGUCUCUCUCACUCACCGAAUCUGCUUCCUUCUCUCAACAAAACCUAGCCUCCAAUGCCACUUUCUUCUUCAAGCUGUGUCACCGCCACCGCACUACCGCCGCCGUCCGCACUGCACCCAUGGUCGUCGAAACGCGUCUGCUCGCCUCGCUUUCCCGUCAGUUUUGAGCUUUCGCGUCUGUUCUGAGCUUCCGCCACCUCUGUAUCGCCGUGCUUCCGCCGCGGUGCUCCCUCUUCGUCACUUGGUCGAGCUUGCCUCAAGCCCUUUUUUUUGCUCCAGCCUGCUGUUAUCACCAUGCUUCGGCCUCUGUUUUGGCUGAGCUUACGCCAGUGCUCAGCCCUGAUCUGAGCUCCCUCUCCCUCAUCUGAAAUGCUGAAUCUCUGUUGUUCAUGGUUUUUUUUAAAUGUUGAUUGCUAGCAUCCUGAAAUCUUGAAGCAAGAAGUAAUGUUUCCAAAACCUGAUAGUUAUGAGCCAACCAUAGAAGGAGCUUUACCAACAAAUAAUAUCUGUUCAAUUUUUAUUAAUGGAACCUGCAGACUUGAGUCUAUGGAUAUCUCUGAUUUAGCAGAAAUCAUAUCUUUUCUUUUCACAUACCAGAACUCUAUUGGAAACAACAAUAAUCAUAUUGUACCCUUAAAAAUUGCUAUUACAAUCUGUUGACUGCUUACAUGAAGUAUCUGUCUCUGGUUGCACAUUUACUUUGUGCUUGAGUCUUGUUCAAAAUACCUCGUGUUCAAGAAAUGAGUUCAAACAAUUGGUAGCUCAGAUGCUAAUGGUCA
Non-coding RNA from Arachis ipaensis, 792 nucleotides. The record is from RefSeq and is a predicted model, not a curated record. NCBI's taxonomy places the organism in Eukaryota, Viridiplantae, Streptophyta, Magnoliopsida, Fabales, Fabaceae.